RNAcentral lists this ribosomal RNA (412 nucleotides) under uncultured microorganism. RNAcentral describes it as "bacterial SSU rRNA". It matches the Rfam family "Bacterial small subunit ribosomal RNA", at positions 9 to 414 of the family's 1533-position model. The record is from RNAcentral.
GAGUUUGAUCGUGGCUCAGAUUGAACGCUGGCGGCAUGCCUUACACAUGCAAGUCGAACGGCAGCAUGAUCUAGCUUGCUAGAUUGAUGGCGAGUGGCGAACGGGUGAGUAAUACAUCGGAACGUGCCCCGUAGUGGGGGAUAACUAGUCGAAAGAUUAGCUAAUACCGCAUACGACCUGAGGGUGAAAGUGGGGGACCGCAAGGCCUCAUGCUAUAGGAGCGGCCGAUGUCUGAUUAGCUAGUUGGUGGGGUAAAGGCCCACCAAGGCGACGAUCAGUAGCUGGUCUGAGAGGACGAUCAGCCACACUGGGACUGAGACACGGCCCAGACUCCUACGGGAGGCAGCAGGUGGGGUAAUUUUGGACAAGUGGGCGAAAGCCUGAUCCAGCAAUGCCGCGUGUGUGAAGAAGG